AAUUGAUUAUGACGUACUUGUACUGAUUGAGAUUUUAACACGAAGUGAGUGGCGAACGGGUGAGUAACACGUGGGUAACCUGCCCAGAAGUAGGGGAUAACACCUGGAAACAGAUGCUAAUACCGUAUAACAGAGAAAACCGCAUGGUUUUCUUUUAAAAGAUGGCUCUGCUAUCACUUCUGGAUGGACCCGCGGCGUAUUAGCUAGUUGGUGAGGUAAAGGCUCACCAAGGCAGUGAUACGUAGCCGACCUGAGAGGGUAAUCGGCCACAUUGGGACUGAGACACGGCCCAGACUCCUACGGGAGGCAGCAGUAGGGAAUCUUCCACAAUGGACGCAAGUCUGAUGGAGCAACGCCGCGUGAGUGAAGAAGGGUUUCGGCUCGUAAAGCUCUGUUGUUAAAGAAGAACGUGGGUAAGAGUAACUGUUUACCCAGUGACGGUAUUUAACCAGAAAGCCACGGCUAACUACGUGCCAGCAGCCGCGGUAAUACGUAGGUGGCAAGCGUUAUCCGGAUUUAUUGGGCGUAAAGCGAGCGCAGGCGGUCUUUUAAGUCUAAUGU
RNAcentral lists this ribosomal RNA (561 nucleotides) under Pediococcus pentosaceus. RNAcentral describes it as "bacterial SSU rRNA". It matches the Rfam family "Bacterial small subunit ribosomal RNA", at positions 64 to 595 of the family's 1533-position model. The record is from RNAcentral. Lineage: Bacteria; Bacillati; Bacillota; Bacilli; Lactobacillales; Lactobacillaceae.